AAAUUGAAGAGUUUGAUCAUGGCUCAGAUUGAACGCUGGCGGCAGGCCUAACACAUGCAAGUCGAACGGUAACAGGAAGCAGCUUGCUGCUUUGCUGACGAGUGGCGGACGGGUGAGUAAUGUCUGGGAAACUGCCUGAUGGAGGGGGAUAACUACUGGAAACGGUGGCUAAUACCGCAUAACGUCGCAAGACCAAAGAGGGGGACCUUCGGGCCUCUUGCCAUCAGAUGUGCCCAGAUGGGAUUAGCUGGUUGGUGAGGUAACGGCUCACCAAGGCGACGAUCCCUAGCUGGUCUGAGAGGAUGACCAGCCACACUGGAACUGAGACACGGUCCAGACUCCUACGGGAGGCAGCAGUGGGGAAUAUUGCACAAUGGGCGCAAGCCUGAUGCAGCCAUGCCGCGUGUAUGAAGAAGGCCUUCGGGUUGUAAAGUACUUUCAGCGGGGAGGAAGGUGUUGUGGUUAAUAACCGCAGCAAUUGACGUUACCCGCAGAAGAAGCACCGGCUAACUCCGUGCCAGCAGCCGCGGUAAUACGGAGGGUGCAAGCGUUAAUCGGAAUUACUGGGCGUAAAGCGCACGCAGGCGGUCUGUCAAGUCGGAUGUGAAAUCCCCGGGCUCAACCUGGGAACUGCAUUCGAAACUGGCAGGCUUGAGUCUUGUAGAGGGGGGUAGAAUUCCAGGUGUAGCGGUGAAAUGCGUAGAGAUCUGGAGGAAUACCGGUGGCGAAGGCGGCCCCCUGGACAAAGACUGACGCUCAGGUGCGAAAGCGUGGGGAGCAAACAGGAUUAGAUACCCUGGUAGUCCACGCCGUAAACGAUGUCUACUUGGAGGUUGUGCCCUUGAGGCGUGGCUUCCGGAGCUAACGCGUUAAGUAGACCGCCUGGGGAGUACGGCCGCAAGGUUAAAACUCAAAUGAAUUGACGGGGGCCCGCACAAGCGGUGGAGCAUGUGGUUUAAUUCGAUGCAACGCGAAGAACCUUACCUGGUCUUGACAGCCACAGAAGUUUCAAGAGAUGGAGUUGGGCCUUCGGGAACUGUGAGACAGGUGCUGCAUGGCUGUCGUCAGCUCGUGUUGUGAAAUGUUGGGUUAAGUCCCGCAACGAGCGCAACCCUUAUCCUUUGUUGCCAGCGGUUAGGCCGGGAACUCAAAGGAGACUGCCAGUGAUAAACUGGAGGAAGGUGGGGAUGACGUCAAGUCAUCAUGGCCCUUACGACCAGGGCUACACACGUGCUACAAUGGCGCAUACAAAGAGAAGCGACCUCGCGAGAGCAAGCGGACCUCAUAAAGUGCGUCGUAGUCCGGAUUGGAGUCUGCAACUCGACUCCAUGAAGUCGGAAUCGCUAGUAAUCGUGGAUCAGAAUGCCACGGUGAAUACGUUCCCGGGCCUUGUACACACCGCCCGUCACACCAUGGGAGUGGGUUGCAAAAGAAGUAGGUAGCUUAACCUUCGGGAGGGCGCUUACCACUUUGUGAUUCAUGACUGGGGUGAAGUCGUAACAAGGUAACCGUAGGGGAACCUGCGGUUGGAUCACCUCCUUACCUGAAAGAAGC
RNAcentral lists this ribosomal RNA (1554 nucleotides) under Salmonella enterica subsp. enterica serovar Senftenberg. Its description in RNAcentral is "bacterial SSU rRNA". It matches the Rfam family "Bacterial small subunit ribosomal RNA". The record is from RNAcentral. Lineage: Bacteria; Pseudomonadati; Pseudomonadota; Gammaproteobacteria; Enterobacterales; Enterobacteriaceae.